RNAcentral lists this unclassified non-coding RNA (263 nucleotides) under Hevea brasiliensis (rubber tree). The record is from RNAcentral. Lineage: Eukaryota; Viridiplantae; Streptophyta; Magnoliopsida; Malpighiales; Euphorbiaceae.
CCGUGCAAAGGCGAGGAAUGAUCAGAAUGAUGGAGAUGCGAGAUAUCAUCGUCGUCGUCAUCAGAAUCAGAGUGGAAGUGCAGGUGGGAACCAGAGUUGGAGUGAGAGUCGUGAGCUAUGUUACGCUUCUUGGGUGAACUGGUACCUUCAUCGCUGAGAGUGAGCGGAUCGCCUUUUCUUUGAGGAGGCAAAUUGAGCUUAGGAACAAACCCGGAAGCAGAAUAUUCCUGUUCUAUAAAAUGAUGCAAAGAACCACCAAUCAU